UCUGCCUCAGCCUCCUGAGUCAUUAGAACUACAAUAUGUGCCAUCAUGCCCAGGUAGAAUAAUUUAUAUUUUGACACUUCUUUAUCUUGUCAAAAAGGCUAAAUGUUCAUUUAUACAUAUAAGUAUUCUUGUUGGGUUUCUUUGCAUGAUUUUUUUCCUUUCCUUUUUGGCCAAAAACCAGGGCAAUAAGUAAAUCUUGAAAUGCCAAAAUCAAAGCUGGUAGCAUGGUAACAGAAAAUGUAUUACUAUUAAGAAACAGACAUCUCCCUCCCUCAAAACACACACAGGUAAGCCUCAGGCAAAUACAGGUCAGUGCUUACGCAUCAUCCCUGGCCAUCAGGGGUUGCAGAAACAAUCCUGCUGUCCCUAAAAUGCACACCAGGAUGAAAACCCAUAGAAAA
This 401-nucleotide long non-coding RNA is filed under the name Marmota monax (woodchuck). Lineage: Eukaryota; Metazoa; Chordata; Mammalia; Rodentia; Sciuridae. The record is from RNAcentral.